This 255-nucleotide ribosomal RNA is filed under the name uncultured bacterium. Its description in RNAcentral is "partial 16S ribosomal RNA". It matches the Rfam family "Bacterial small subunit ribosomal RNA", at positions 524 to 776 of the family's 1533-position model. The record is from RNAcentral.
UACGUAGGGGGCUAGCGUUGUCCGGAAUCAUUGGGCGUAAAGAGCUCGUAGGCGGCUCAGUAAGUCAGGUGUGAAACCUCCAGGCUCAACCUGGAGACGCCACCUGAUACUGCUGUGGCUAGAGUCCGGUAGGGGAGCGUGGAAUUCCUGGUGUAGCGGUGAAAUGCGCAGAUAUCAGGAGGAACACCAGCGGCGGAAGGCGGCGCUCUGGGCCGGAACUGACGCUGAGGAGCGAAAGCGUGGGUAGCAAACAGG